Long non-coding RNA from Oreochromis niloticus (Nile tilapia), 569 nucleotides. RefSeq lists it as uncharacterized. The transcript is spliced from 3 exons. The record is from RefSeq and is a predicted model, not a curated record. NCBI's taxonomy places the organism in Eukaryota, Metazoa, Chordata, Actinopteri, Cichliformes, Cichlidae.
UGUGUGUGUGUGUUCUGUUUAAACCUUGUAUUAACAGUGCUUAUCCCCCGGGUACAGGUUCAAUAAGUUGUCCAGAAAAACCUACAGAAGCGGGGGCAAUAAGACCAAGCCUUACGUUAGGCCCGAGACAGAGUACACAGCGUGUCAAGAAGCGGGGCCAUCCGGAAUAACACAGAACAAAGUCGAUCACACAACUCCUUACCACUACGGAUCCCUUGAAGACCCCUUGACGUUUUUGGAAUAUUUACGUGAUAUUGAACUCCCAGAACAACAAGAAAAACCACAACCUUUGGGCAACGUCGGAGAAUCGGAAGAAUUCUUCAUCACCGGGCCACACAUACCAGCGAGUGAGUGUCUGCCUAGUGAUUUCAGCGAUGUUUUCGAGUACAGUCUAUCAGAUUUCAACAUAAAUGACAUACCCGCCACGCCAGAAUGUCUCAGAAACAACAGUGAUUCAGACAUAGGUUUUGAAGAAGGGUGCAUAACAGACUCACAAAUAUCGCAGGCAUAUGAUGCAUACUUAAAUGCAGCAAAACCCUCUACUUUUGAACAGAGCCAUUAUGCUUCAA